Molecule: long non-coding RNA, 295 nt
Organism: Miniopterus natalensis
Lineage: Eukaryota; Metazoa; Chordata; Mammalia; Chiroptera; Miniopteridae
Source: RefSeq, a predicted model, not a curated record
AAAAGACCUACAUCAGUACCUAUUUUUGCUAACCAAAAGAAACCCGAAGAGGAUUUUCACUUUUUGGAAAAAAGCCUCCUGUAACUCCUACCACCCCAACCUCGGACAACUCAGCCUAACACCCAUCUUCACCACCUCUCCACCUUCCAGUGUGUGCUCCCUGUCUUCCCGAUUCUGGAUGUAAGCAUUGGGGCCUGUGGAGGAAAAUCCUUCAAAGGUGACAGCAGGCUGAUGAGUGAACAUACCCGGGACUAUGAUGAAUGCAGCCUCUGGUCUGGAAAACAAGGAGGCUGUG